Molecule: long non-coding RNA, 3971 nt
Filed under: Homo sapiens (human)
Lineage: Eukaryota; Metazoa; Chordata; Mammalia; Primates; Hominidae
Description: HSALNT0121607
Source: RNAcentral
CCAGCAGCCCCCACGGGAAUGGCAGAGGAGCAGGGCCUAACGAGACAGGAGGAUCUAGGCGAUUGCGCAGGUGGGGCCCGGGCCUCCGCCUCAGGUGGCACCAGGGGGCCUGGAGCAGCCGCGGCUUCGCCCUGACUGUGAGGAGAGGCCUCACACGCAGGCCAAGUGUAUUGGCUUUGUGAAGAGGACUUCCCAGGGCCCAGACCGAGUUGGGGACUGUGGUGCGAACCAUGCUGCUGCCGGGUCUCUGAGUCCCUGGUGCAGGUGAUUGCGGGGUGGAACGUUGAAGCAGGUACUGAUCCUGCUCUGGUCCGUGGGGCUGUGGAAAAAUCAUUUUCAGUAUUUCUGGUCUCUUCUGGAAGACCUUCGCUAACAGCAAAUUCUCAUCUUGGACGAUGUCACGCGGCUGUCGUGGGACUGUGUCCCCAAAGCAGCAGUGAGGAAAAAACGGGCCCAGUAGUGGCGAGACCUCGGCCCUGGCCCUACCACUAGGAAGACACUCUACAAGUCAAGCUGGCACUGGUUAAAUUAUAAGAUACACUACAAUCUCGUUCCCUGACCUCUUGAAGGUUUUGUUGAUAAAGGAAAAACGUAAACAUACAAGUAAACACGUUAUAAGACCCACACAAGCAAGGUUUUGCUGAACUGAAUAUACUGAAUUAUUACAACAACUAUUAUAAUUAAAGAAAUGCCGAUAUGAACAAGAACCUGGAAAAGAACAAUGUAGCUUUCUGGAGGUUUCAGGUGGCAGCCAGUACCUUGCCAGCAUGCUUGACACCUGAGUCCUCUAGUGAAGAACACAGUUAACUCCUUUGGAGGCAGCAAGCUAACCAGUGCCUGGAGACGUAUGGUGACUUCUUCCCUGCCAGAGAAACCAAGGCCCUCUGCCAGGAACUUGGCCAACCAGUACCAGCUCUCAGGCCUCCCUUCCCAGGGGAUGAUAAGUGAGCAUCCCCAGCUUUGUUGUUUGUCCUGAGUCUAGCGGCAGUCCGAGUUCCUGGGUAUCAUGGUGUCGGGCACACAGAAAAGGAGAGAACCUGAUCGAUCGAUAGGAGAGACAUGAUAAAGAGGACAGCAUCCUUCUCUGAUCUCUUUGCUGAUAGGAAAUGCAACACAGUGGCACCCAGGUUCUGCUCCAGCAAGUCAGUUCCAUACACCAGCUCAGGAAAGGGAGUGCAGAGGCAAAGGGCACACUGCUCUCAGGUUCAGCGAAGUCCAGUUUCAUCGCUCUGUGCCAUGAAGAGGUGUUUAUGCCAGCUGGAGUCAUUUUUCCCUGGAGUUCCUGAGGAUGCUUGAGAUCCCUUCCUUUUUUUUUUCUCUCUCUCUCUCUUUUUUUAAGUUUGUUUAAUAAUAAAAAAAAAGUAAAAACCUGUAUAUGGUUUUUUAAGAAAAUCAAGCCCAGAAAGUUAGCUAUUAAAUAACUGUAAGUGCCCCAUAUUCCAGAACCCAACUUUUAUUCUUCAACUGCAGGUAACUACAACCAAUAAUUUUUUUGUAUCCAGAAAUAAUCAAGUGUGUGUGGUGUUCAGCAUGCAUACCUAUAGCAUAGCAAUGGUUAACAGUGCAGGAUGUGGAGUUAGACUGCCUGGUUUUGAAUCCUCAUACACCACUUACUAGGACUCUGGGCAAAUUACUCUGACUUUCUGGGUCACAGGGCCUGUUGAUAAUACCUAUCUUUUAGAGUUGUUAAGAGUCAAUGCAUGUAAAGUGUUUAAAAUAGUACCUGGCACAUAGUAACAAUUGAGUAAAUGCUGAGUAUUAUUAUUUUAUUAUUCAUAUAAUUGUUUAUGUAUAACUGCAUUUUAAAACUUAUACAAACACAAAUUAAGCAUGCUGUUUUUAACUUAUACUUUUUUCCAUCAAAUUAAACUGCUAUGAGAUUUUUCUCAUGUAAACACAGAUCUGCCUCAUUCUUUUUUAAAUAGCUUUAUAUAUUUAAAAUUAUUGUAUAUACGUAUGUUUUAAAAAUUCAGCUAGAUUCCUAUUGGCUGACAUUUGGACAUUUCCUGUCUUUUUUUUUUUUAUAGAAAAUGCUUGGAAAAUUUUUCUUAAUGUAUCUUAAUAAUAAAUUUCUGGCAGUGGGAUUGCAUGGUCAAAUAAUAUGUUUUUUGAAUUACUUUUUUAUUUUUAGCAUUUAAAAUUUUAAUCUAUUUGGAAUUAUUUUUGAUACACUGUAAGGCGAAGAUCCCAGCCUUCUUUUUGUGUAGAUUAAUGGCCAAUUAAGCCAAUAUUAUUUAUUAAAUAAAGGAUUUUUCCUCACUGAAUUGAAAGCCUAUUUUUUAUAUAUUAAAUUCUGAAUCUGUUUUAAAUCUUUAUUCUGUUUCAAUUAUAUACAUUGUUAAUAUUGUACACCAUUUCCAUCAAAUCUCAAAUUCACCAAAUGGUAAACACAUUUCAAUUUCUAUAGGAGUUUUAUAGAAAUGUGUAUUAUGGAAAUGCAGCAUCAAUAUACAACUCUCAUUUCCCCAUACUCUCCUCUCAGCUCUGAAUAUCAUUAAUGAUUUUAAAUUAUUUUUGCAAAUCUACUAGAUGGAAAGUCAUUUCUUAUUUUUUCAUUUGAAUAUUUUAAUCUAAAGUAGAUUUGAAGAGGUUUUUGCAUAUUCUUUUGCUAUUUGUUUCACUGUUUCUAUCAGGUUGUAUUUUUUCAUAUAUAUGUUUUAAAUGUUCUUUCUAUUUCAAGUCAACAAUGAGUGCUUUAAUAUUUUUUAAGAUUUUGUCUUUUAAUUUUAUUUUUCAUAUUUUUACUAUAUGUUAAUUUUAACUUUAUUGUUCAGUCGUUUCCUUGAUAGGGUCGUGAUUUGGAUAUCUGCUUAUAAAGAUUUUUUGCACUCCUGUACACACAUGUACACACAUAUUGACACAAACAUUUCCUUGUCUUCUAGGUCUUUUGUAAAUUUGUUUUUAGGUGUACAUAUUUUUAAAGAACUGAAAUUUAUUUUGGUAUAAGACCUCACAGGUAUUCACAAAUAUUUCAUUUAUGUUUCAAAUGUCUAACCAGUUGUCAACAUUAUUUAUUGACUAUUUUAUCUUUUCAAUACUGAUUUACAAUACCAGAAUUAUUAAGUACUAAAAUGCACAUUUUUACAUAAUCUACUCGAGUACAAAAAUGUAUGGUUAUGAUAACUUCAUGAUAUGGUCAAUGUCCGAUUUGACUGACACUAUCUUGUUGCUCUUAUUCUGCAUAAUUUUGAGCAUUGGAUUUUUCCAGAUGAAGUUUAAUAUUACUUUCUUAAUUUUCGUAGCAGAAAAAAUACAAGCUAAGCUGUGAGCAAUUUAGAUAAAUAAAAUUGUAUAUUUGGGGUGUUAAGAUUAUUAAAAUGAGUAGUCCUGCCUUUUUCUAAACUCUUGCGUCCUCUUUAUGGAUUUUGCAUCUUCUAUUCCCUCUGCCUGGAAUGCUUUUCCCCCUGGUAGCCACCUGGCUUGCAUCCUCACUUCCUUUGGUCAGAACUUUAAAUAUCACCUGUCACUGAGGUCUUCCCUUACCAGCCCCCGGCCAUGCUGUUUAAAAAAACAAAACAAAACAAAACAAAACAAAAAACACCUUUAUCCAACUCUUCAGUCCUAUCAAUCUGUCUUCUUGCUUUACAUCUCCCCAUAGCACUGAACACCAUAACAUAUGAUGUAUUUUUUAGUUUGUAGACUGUCUGUCUCCCCUCACUAGGUCCCCCUCCAUGAGGCCAGGGACUUUUGUCUAUUUUGUUCACUACUCCCUGAGACCUAGAAUGGUGUUUUUUAUGCAAUAGGCCCUCAAUAAAUAUUUUCUGAGUGACUGAAUGAAUAAAUGAAGGAAUCUUCAAGAUCAAGCAUUCCGAUCCAAGAUAUAAUCUGGUUUAGCAUUUUAGUUUUCUUUCACGUCCUUUAUAUUAAUAUAUAAGUAGUUUACAUUUAAAAGUGUGUCAUUCCUAUUUUUCUAUUGCAGAGGAAACCUGUUUUCCUGGUCUAUUUUUUAACUGGAUAUUGUUUAUACAAAG